RNAcentral lists this transfer RNA (80 nucleotides) under Felis catus (domestic cat). It matches the Rfam family "tRNA". Rfam says of the family: Transfer RNA (tRNA) molecules are approximately 80 nucleotides in length. Their secondary structure includes four short double-helical elements and three loops (D, anti-codon, and T loops). Lineage: Eukaryota; Metazoa; Chordata; Mammalia; Carnivora; Felidae. The record is from Rfam by way of RNAcentral.
GCCUGGGUGGCUCAGUCGGUUGAGUGUCUGACUUUGGCCCACGAUCUCAUGGUUCGUGGGUUCGAGUCCCGCAUUGGGCU